ACUCAAAGGAAUUGACGGGGACCCGCACAAGCGGUGGAGCAUGUGGUUUAAUUGGAUGGUAAGCCGGGCACCUCACCCAGAUUUGACAUCCCAGUGAAAGGCACUAGAAAUAGAGCCCCUCUUUUGACACUGGAGACAGGUGCUGCACGGUUGUCGUCAGCUCGUGUUGUGAAAUGUACGGUUAAGUCCGAUAACGAGCGCAACCCUUAUUGCCAGUUAUAUAUGUCUGGCGAGACUGCCGUGGUUAACACGGAGGAAGGUGGGGAUGACGUCAAAUCAGCGUGGCCUUUAUAUCUGGGGCGACACACGUGCUACAAUGGGUAGGUCACAAUGGGAUGCCAAGCGGUAACGCGGAGCAAAACCCAUCAAAACUACCCCAAGUUCGGAUUGAGGUCUGCAACUCGACCUCAUGAAGCUGGAAUCGCUAGUAACCGCAAAUCAGCCAUGUUGCGGUGAAUACGUUCUCGGGUCUUGUACACACCGCCCGU
RNAcentral lists this ribosomal RNA (488 nucleotides) under uncultured bacterium. RNAcentral describes it as "partial 16S ribosomal RNA". It matches the Rfam family "Bacterial small subunit ribosomal RNA", at positions 899 to 1397 of the family's 1533-position model. The record is from RNAcentral.